UAGGGAAUCUUCGGCAAUGGACGAAAGUCUGACCGAGCAACGCCGCGUGAGUGAAGAAGGUUUUCGGAUCGUAAAGCUCUGUUGUAAGAGAAGAACGAGUGUGAGAGUGGAAAGUUCACACUGUGACGGUAUCUUACCAGAAAGGGACGGCUAACUACGUGCCAGCAGCCGCGGUAAU
RNAcentral lists this ribosomal RNA (178 nucleotides) under uncultured Streptococcus sp. RNAcentral describes it as "partial 16S ribosomal RNA". It matches the Rfam family "Bacterial small subunit ribosomal RNA", at positions 355 to 524 of the family's 1533-position model. Lineage: Bacteria; Bacillati; Bacillota; Bacilli; Lactobacillales; Streptococcaceae. The record is from RNAcentral.